UACAGAGGCCUCAAGCGUUAGGCGGAAUCACUGGGCUUAAAGCGUGUGUAGGCGGGUCGUUAAGUGCCUUGUGAAAUCCCCUGGCUCAACCAGGGAACUGCUUGGCAUACUGGCGAUCUUGAGCCACCUAGGGGCAACUGGAACAGACGGUGGAGCGGUGAAAUGCGUAGAGAUCAGGGGGAACACCCGUGGCGAAGGCGGCCGGCUGGGCCGACCCUGACGCUGAGGCGCGAAGGCGUGGGGAGCGAACGGG
Molecule: ribosomal RNA, 253 nt
Filed under: uncultured bacterium
Lineage: Bacteria
Description: partial 16S ribosomal RNA
Rfam family: Bacterial small subunit ribosomal RNA
Source: RNAcentral